UACGUAGGGUGCAGGCGUUAAUCGGAAUUACUGGGCGUAAAGCGUGCGCAGGCGGUUGUGCAAGACAGAUGUGAAAUCCCCGGGCUUAACCUGGGAAUUGCAUUUGUGACUGCACGGCUAGAGUGUGUCAGAGGGGGGUAGAAUUCCACGUGUAGCAGUGAAAUGCGUAGAUAUGUGGAGGAAUACCGAUGGCGAAGGCAGCCCCCUGGGAUAACACUGACGCUCAUGCACGAAAGCGUGGGGAGCAAACAGG
This 253-nucleotide ribosomal RNA is filed under the name uncultured bacterium. RNAcentral describes it as "partial 16S ribosomal RNA". It matches the Rfam family "Bacterial small subunit ribosomal RNA", at positions 524 to 776 of the family's 1533-position model. The record is from RNAcentral.